This 875-nucleotide ribosomal RNA is filed under the name Bacillus sp. (in: firmicutes). RNAcentral describes it as "bacterial SSU rRNA". It matches the Rfam family "Bacterial small subunit ribosomal RNA", at positions 56 to 914 of the family's 1533-position model. Lineage: Bacteria; Bacillati; Bacillota; Bacilli; Caryophanales; Bacillaceae. The record is from RNAcentral.
UGCAAGUCGAGCGGACAGAAGGGAGCUUGCUCCCGGAUGUUAGCGGCGGACGGGUGAGUAACACGUGGGUAACCUGCCUGUAAGACUGGGAUAACUCCGGGAAACCGGAGCUAAUACCGGAUAGUUCCUUGAACCGCAUGGUUCAAGGAUGAAAGACGGUUUCGGCUGUCACUUACAGAUGGACCCGCGGCGCAUUAGCUAGUUGGUGAGGUAACGGCUCACCAAGGCGACGAUGCGUAGCCGACCUGAGAGGGUGAUCGGCCACACUGGGACUGAGACACGGCCCAGACUCCUACGGGAGGCAGCAGUAGGGAAUCUUCCGCAAUGGACGAAAGUCUGACGGAGCAACGCCGCGUGAGUGAUGAAGGUUUUCGGAUCGUAAAGCUCUGUUGUUAGGGAAGAACAAGUGCAAGAGUAACUGCUUGCACCUUGACGGUACCUAACCAGAAAGCCACGGCUAACUACGUGCCAGCAGCCGCGGUAAUACGUAGGUGGCAAGCGUUGUCCGGAAUUAUUGGGCGUAAAGGGCUCGCAGGCGGUUUCUUAAGUCUGAUGUGAAAGCCCCCGGCUCAACCGGGGAGGGUCAUUGGAAACUGGGAAACUUGAGUGCAGAAGAGGAGAGUGGAAUUCCACGUGUAGCGGUGAAAUGCGUAGAGAUGUGGAGGAACACCAGUGGCGAAGGCGACUCUCUGGUCUGUAACUGACGCUGAGGAGCGAAAGCGUGGGGAGCGAACAGGAUUAGAUACCCUGGUAGUCCACGCCGUAAACGAUGAGUGCUAAGUGUUAGGGGUUUCCGCCCCUUAGUGCUGCAGCUAACGCAUUAAGCACUCCGCCUGGGGAGUACGGUCGCAAGACUGAAACUCAAAGGAAUUGAC